CCAUCGCGUCGCCGCCACCCACUCACCAUCUCCAUCGGGAUCCUCCUAGAUCCCACCUCCUCCCUGUUCGAUCUAGAGGAGUGGAGCUCCUCCGCGCCCAUAGGCUCUCCCGCUCGAGGGCUCCAUGCUGUCUUCGCCAAGCUCCAGGAGCUUGAGCCCCUGCUCCACCUCAUCGUCGGAUCUCCAUCGCCGUACCACCAAUCCAUGAGCCCGAGGAGCCCUUGCGCCAUGCUCCUCCCUUGCCGCAAUAGGAGAGCAUCCCCGAGCUCUUCCUCAACCUCCUCACGUCGCUGCCUUGUCAGCACUACCUCGCCCGCGCGUUGCCAGGUCGUCCGUCCGCCAGAGCGUGCCCCGCCUCGACCUCGGCGGUGACCAUCGACACUGCCGCACAACGACAGGAGCUCCAUCCCCAAACGCCUUCGCGCCUCCGACCUGAACUCCUCUUGCGCCCGCACCUGGAGCCAUGGACGCCUCAAGCUAGGUUUGACUUGCCGCCCUAGUUUCCUCGGCCUCGUCGUCGCGCCUCCGAAGACCGGCCUCGUCGUCACCGGAGACCCCAGGCUAGCCGCCGCCGCGCUAAGUUCCCUGCUCCACGCCGGACUCGGCUUCCUCGUCGUCUCUAGCAACGGCCAGAGCUCCAAGUCCCUCCGCCUCGCCCCGCUUGCCCGCGCCAGUUGUCGCCGGCGGCCAUCUCCAGCCCCUCCUCUACUUCGUUCUACGGGGAGGACGAGGUGCCCAUGCCUCGCGUGGUCAGCGCCGCCACUCUGAACCUCGCGCUCCCCGCUCGUUCUGCGUUGACCGCAGCCACACCGUACGUGGGCCUCCUCUUGCAGCGCCUCAAGGCCCAGCCUGCUUCCCCUCAAGAUCCGGCCUGCCAAGCCUCUUCCCCGAAUGGGCUUGGCCCAUGUUGGUUCCGAUAACGUUGCGUUUGUGAGGAUCCGUUUGACUACGUCUGUUUGUCUUCUU
Long non-coding RNA from Triticum dicoccoides, 966 nucleotides. RefSeq lists it as uncharacterized. The record is from RefSeq and is a predicted model, not a curated record. The transcript is spliced from 3 exons. NCBI's taxonomy places the organism in Eukaryota, Viridiplantae, Streptophyta, Magnoliopsida, Poales, Poaceae.